Long non-coding RNA from Nematostella vectensis (starlet sea anemone), 902 nucleotides. RefSeq lists it as uncharacterized. The transcript is spliced from 2 exons. The record is from RefSeq and is a predicted model, not a curated record. NCBI's taxonomy places the organism in Eukaryota, Metazoa, Cnidaria, Anthozoa, Actiniaria, Edwardsiidae.
UGCGUGAGUUAAAUAUGCAAACGCAAAUGUCACGCAACAACUUUAGCCGCACAAGUCGUACGGAGAGAAAGGCAACAAACAAGAGUUAAUCUCAGCCAGAGAUUCUAAAAUCAAGCUGAGACACAAGCUGCUGGCUAAGAGACAUGACCCAGGGCAGGAUGUACAUAUAAGGCAUUGGUAUUUAAUGUAGGUCACCAAAAAAUAAACAAAUAUAAAGUAACAAAAAGUAAGAUAAUAUUUUAAUGAAAAAAUUGUUCUAAAAAAGGAACCAGAGUUAUAAAAGUAAAAAACCUAGUUCUUUUCCAAGUUAGCCUGACAGGUUCUUGUAUAAUGUGUGGUUAGUGACAUUUAGGCUAUUUAGGUUCUUAAAUAGUCUCUUGCUAUUAGAAUGACUCACUGAGGUAGUAAGUUAAUCUUAAUAUAUAGAUUUAGGUACUACCUAAAAGCGGAGCCAGCAUUGAACACCUUUUGUAUUGACUGAUAAAAGUAUUUUGGGGGAUCUAGGAUCCUGCUCUUUACUGAGUUUAUUGGACCAACCAAAUGGAUCCAGGCCUUAUUCAAUAAUUUAAAUUAUGCAGUACAUCAAAGUUAACAAACACAAUUCCUGGUGUAAAUAUGGCUGUCUAAGUUGUUAAGAGUCUAAUGGUAAAUUCUUAUUUCCCCACCAUAGAAGUUCCAUUAUGAAUAUUCUUAUAAUCAAAACAAUACUCCGACAAGCUUUGCCUUUGUGCAGAAUAUGUCAUGGAUGUAACAGCAUUUCAAAGAUUCCAAAUAAUAUAUUUACUAGACUGUUUAAAUGCCAUACUGUAAUUUUAAGGUAUCAAUUUAGUGGUGAUUCUCUCCUUUAUUGGGCUGAAUAUUCAGAAAAAUGUCUGGAAAUUAAAAUCCACAAAUGUAUCUCC